Penicillium freii is the source of this 62-nucleotide small nuclear RNA. It matches the Rfam family "U2 spliceosomal RNA", at positions 1 to 61 of the family's 192-position model. Rfam says of the family: U2 is a small nuclear RNA (snRNA) component of the spliceosome (involved in pre-mRNA splicing). Complementary binding between U2 snRNA (in an area lying towards the 5' end but 3' to hairpin I) and the branchpoint sequence (BPS) of the intron results the bulging out of an unpaired adenosine, on the BPS, which initiates a nucleophilic attack at the intronic 5' splice site, thus starting the first of two transesterification reactions that mediate splicing. The record is from Rfam. NCBI's taxonomy places the organism in Eukaryota, Fungi, Ascomycota, Eurotiomycetes, Eurotiales, Aspergillaceae.
CCAGCUCUCUUUGCCUAUUGGCUUAGAUCAAGUGUAGUAUCUGUUCUUUUCAGUUUAAUCUC